Phyllostomus discolor (pale spear-nosed bat) is the source of this 2654-nucleotide long non-coding RNA. RefSeq lists it as uncharacterized. The record is from RefSeq and is a predicted model, not a curated record. The transcript has 2 exons. Lineage: Eukaryota; Metazoa; Chordata; Mammalia; Chiroptera; Phyllostomidae.
ACCUUUUGUUUAUUUUUUUUAGACUCUAUUUCUACUCUGAUCUUUAUUAUUUCCUUUCUUUGAUAGCAUUUCUAGCAUUUGUCACUACAUGUUUGUUCUAGGUUUUUGGUGCAUGCCUUUUAUCAGGUUAAUGAAUCUUGCUGUUAUAUACAUUUGCCUGUUUUGCUAGAAUUUUUUUUUAAUAAAAAGGAGGUUUAAAAUUUGUCAAAUGCAAUUUCUGUGUAUAUUGAGACAAUGUGUAUGUGCUUUUUGUUUGUGAACAUACUGGAUUAGAUUAACUAGGUUUUCUACCGUUAAACUAAGUUUGUGUGCCUCAGAUAACUUGAUAUAUAACCUUGCCUAUGGUUUGGUGCUCCUCCAAGCCUGAGCCCCUUUUAUUGUUAAUGUCCUGUCCCUUUGAUUUGUCUGUGUCCUCCUCACUCUCCUUCAAGCUGCUCUGCUUCAACUAGGUAAAUCUCAUGGCGCCACCUGGUGGCACCCAUUGGAAAUUUCUGACUUGCUAUUGCCAUCUCUCUUUUCUCUUGGAGAAAUAGUUUUCCUGAUUAUCACUGUUACCCCUCAUUUUGUUUUCUUUCUUGUACAGUACAUUUAUCCACUUAACUCCCUCAUUCUCCUUUCUCUUGAUCUUCAUCAGAUUAUUCACUUUUCCUUCCUUUGCUCUUUCUCCCUUUGUUCCUUUAUGAGUACUACCUCUGCUGAGGUUGAUCAUGGUGGCAGUAGUGUUGGUGACAAAAGAAGAAAUACAGUAAUAAAUUUUUAAAUGACAUUUGACAUGAUAAAGUGACAGCUCUGGUAACCUUCCAAGUCUUUGAAAAUACUUCAAGUUCCCUUUAAAAUGUUCUUAAAUUUGAAGUUCUACUUAGUCAUCUAAUUAAUUCUGUACAGUUUAAAGUUCAAGCCAAAGUAUCAAAGAAAAAUUAUAAUAGUAUUAAUAAGUUUCAUUGUUUCCAUCUUCCUUUAUUACUAGCAUUGACAAAUUUGAAGUUUCUACUGUAUAUUACUUCAAAGACUCCGUUUUCCAUUGUCUGUUAAACUGCCUGGAAACUGAACUGUCAUCUACAACAUGGUUUUCAGGGGCAACAGCCCACCAGAAAUGCCCUUUUGGUACAUAACUGAUUUGCACAGAUUGCCAGUAACUGACUUUCUGAUGUUUGACUCAUGAGCACAGGAAUGCUGUAAGCACUGUUCUCCCCACUGAAAGAACUCACAUGUGGAUAAGCUUGGCCAGUGUGGCAGUUUCUUUGUAGAGUUCAUUGUGACUGGUUUUGGGGUCUGUAAGAGCCACAUCUGAGAAUGGCAGGUGAGUCAGCUGAAGGCAGACCAGAGAAACUGGGGUUGAAAUCGAUCUCUAACCAUUGCACUGCCAACAGGGCUGCAGCAGAGGAGGUUUCUAUUGUUUGUCUGUCUUAACCCACACCAGUCUUUUUGUGAAUAGGUAUAGUAUACUGAAAAUGUGCUUAUUCAAGGAUAGCAAUUGUUGAUUUCAAAACAGGCCACCCCAGAAUAUUUUGGGUCUGUAAAGUUAGUUGGUGCCUACAAGACAUUUUAACGGUGCCUAAAUGAAUCUAGAGAUAACCUUGAAUAAAAUAUAAACCCUGUCUUACACAUUAUUCCAAUAGUUUCAAAGCUUUGAUGUGUAUGGCUUUGAGAUCCAUUAUUGUGAAACUGAAUAGUUUGUGUAGAGUUGGCUACACUAUUAGAAUUCUAACAUCUGUUUAAGAGGGAGAUUUAGAGUAUUUUUAUUUUCACGUAAUCAUGGAGAUUCAAAAGUAGAUUGAAAAAGAAGUUCAAGAUUAUGACAGAGAUGACUGUGGUGGUUUGGUUACCAGGGGCCCUGCAUGACCCAGGGUGAUGUGUGGUCCCCUCAGCACUUGGUGUCCUUCUGUGUCCUUUUGCUAGAUGCUUUCUAACCUCUUGAUGUUUCUUUUAAAAGGUGGGGACCCAAACUGUAUGCAUUUUUCCAGAUGCGUUCUUGCCAAAACAGCAUAAAGCAAAUGUAACAGUUAGGAAGAAGCUUCCCUCCCUUACUAGGUCCCUGGCAUCUGACAUAUGGCGAGCUUUAGGAUAAGGACCUACUAGGAUACACUUGAUGUUCUGAAUGUGAAUAUCCAUCCCCCAAAGUCCAGAACCCCAGCUGGAACCAGAUGGACACUUGUUCUCAAAACCAGGGCUCUUGCCGAUGGUUCUCUCCGCAUCUUUUUACUGUUGGUCUUCCCUUUCUUGCUCUCUUGUCUCUCCCACCCCCAACCCCCUUGAUUGCUGUUCCUAGGGACGCACCUCGGGAAUACGGGACAGGACUUGGGCAUUCUGUAUUGCACCCUGCGGUCCCAAGCCAGUGUCUGCUGCUUGCCAUCCUCAAGGCAACAUCCCUGACAUGCUGGAAGGCAUCAGCUUCCCAGAGCCCACUUUUAGUCUGCAUGACCAGCUUGCAAGGAGGGAUAUAUGGAGACAGUUUCCAAGAAUUUUCCACUUUUUAAAAAAAAAUGUAUGUGACUUAUUUUUGGCUCUGAACUGAGAGCUAACUCAGUGGUGUACAGCUCUGUUUACUGGCUCACAUCUGUGGAAUCUGGAGACAUUGAUGCAACAUUCCUUUUCCUGUCUGGGCUGUUUGUAUAAUUGUAUAUAAAUGUAGCAAUAAAUAUAUUCUAACAUCA